UACGCUAGGGGAGCUAUAUGUUAGCUGAGAGAGCGGAGUUACCGCUGACCCUUAUCACUUGAACCGGUUAAUACCGGCGUAAGGAAGCACGU
RNAcentral lists this non-coding RNA (92 nucleotides) under chicken gut metagenome. RNAcentral's name for it is "TPP riboswitch (THI element)". It matches the Rfam family "TPP riboswitch aptamer (THI element)", at positions 8 to 91 of the family's 105-position model. From Rfam's summary of the family: Vitamin B(1) in its active form thiamin pyrophosphate (TPP) is an essential coenzyme that is synthesised by coupling of pyrimidine and thiazole moieties in bacteria. The previously detected thiamin-regulatory element, thi box was extended, resulting in a new, highly conserved RNA secondary structure, the THI element, which is widely distributed in eubacteria and also occurs in some archaea. The record is from RNAcentral.